RNAcentral lists this ribosomal RNA (520 nucleotides) under Staphylococcus petrasii. Its description in RNAcentral is "bacterial SSU rRNA". It matches the Rfam family "Bacterial small subunit ribosomal RNA", at positions 27 to 529 of the family's 1533-position model. The record is from RNAcentral. Lineage: Bacteria; Bacillati; Bacillota; Bacilli; Caryophanales; Staphylococcaceae.
GGAUGAACGCUGGCGGCGUGCCUAAUACAUGCAAGUCGAGCGAACAGACGAGGAGCUUGCUCCUCUGACGUUAGCGGCGGACGGGUGAGUAACACGUGGGUAACCUACCUAUAAGACUGGGAUAACUUCGGGAAACCGGAGCUAAUACCGGAUAAUAUUUUGAACCGCAUGGUUCAAAAGUGAAAGAUGGCUCUGCUAUCACUUAUAGAUGGACCCGCGCCGUAUUAGCUAGUUGGUAAGGUAACGGCUUACCAAGGCGACGAUACGUAGCCGACCUGAGAGGGUGAUCGGCCACACUGGAACUGAGACACGGUCCAGACUCCUACGGGAGGCAGCAGUAGGGAAUCUUCCGCAAUGGGCGAAAGCCUGACGGAGCAACGCCGCGUGAGUGAUGAAGGUCUUCGGAUCGUAAAACUCUGUUAUUAGGGAAGAACAUACGUGUAAGUAACUGUGCACGUCUUGACGGUACCUAAUCAGAAAGCCACGGCUAACUACGUGCCAGCAGCCGCGGUAAUACGUA